CCUACGGGCGGCUGCAGUGGGGGAUAUUGCACAAUGGGGGAAACCCUGAUGCAGCGACGCCGCGUGUGGGAAGACGGUCCUCUGGAUUGUAAACUACUGUUCUCAGGGACGAAGAUGACGGUACCUGGGGAGGAAGCUCCGGCUAACUACGUGCGAGCAGCCGCGGUAAUAGGGAGGGAGCGAGCGUUGUCCGGAAUUACUGGGGUUAAAGGGAGCGUAGGCGGGGAUGCAAGUUGGGUGUCAAAAUUACCGGCUCAACUGGUAGUCGCACUCAAAACUGCAGCUCGUGAGUGAAGUAGAGGCAGGCGGAAUUCCUAGUGUAGCGGUGAAAUGCGUAGAUAUUAGGAGGAACACCAGUGGCGAAGGCGGCCUGCUGGGCUUUUACUGACGCUGAGGCUCGAAAGUGUGGGGAGCAAACAGGAUUAGAUACCCCUGUAGUC
Molecule: ribosomal RNA, 440 nt
Filed under: uncultured bacterium
Lineage: Bacteria
Description: partial 16S ribosomal RNA
Rfam family: Bacterial small subunit ribosomal RNA
Source: RNAcentral